CAGUCGCCGCGGUAAUACCAGCAGCCCAAGUGGUGGUCGCGCUUAUUGGGCCUAAAGCGCUCAUAGCCUGGCCGGUAAGUUCCCCGUGAAAUCGGGUCGCCCAACGAUUCGGCUUGCGGGGAAUACUGUCGGUCUUGGGGCCGGGAGACGCCGAGGGUACUCCGGGGGUAGCGGUGAAAUGCUGUGAUCCUCGGGGGACUACCAGUGGCGAAGGCGCUCGGCGAUAACGGGCCUGACGGUGAGGGGCGAAAGCUGGGGGCGCGAACGGGAUUAGAUACCCCCGUAGUCCCUGUCUCUUAUA
Molecule: ribosomal RNA, 301 nt
Filed under: uncultured bacterium
Lineage: Bacteria
Description: partial 16S ribosomal RNA
Rfam family: Archaeal small subunit ribosomal RNA
Source: RNAcentral